This 392-nucleotide ribosomal RNA is filed under the name Escherichia coli. Its description in RNAcentral is "bacterial SSU rRNA". It matches the Rfam family "Bacterial small subunit ribosomal RNA", at positions 194 to 581 of the family's 1533-position model. Lineage: Bacteria; Pseudomonadati; Pseudomonadota; Gammaproteobacteria; Enterobacterales; Enterobacteriaceae. The record is from RNAcentral.
GGGGGACCUUCGGGCCUCUUGCCAUCGGAUGUGCCCAGAUGGGAUUAGCUAGUAGGUGGGGUAACGGCUCACCUAGGCGACGAUCCCUAGCUGGUCUGAGAGGAUGACCAGCCACACUGGAACUGAGACACGGUCCAGACUCCUACGGGAGGCAGCAGUGGGGAAUAUUGCACAAUGGGCGCAAGCCUGAUGCAGCCAUGCCGCGUGUAUGAAGAAGGCCUUCGGGUUGUAAAGUACUUUCAGCGGGGAGGAAGGGAGUAAAGUUAAUACCUUGGCUCAUUGACGUUACCCGCAGAAGAAGCACCGGCUAACUCAUUGCCAGCAGCCGCCGUAAUCCGGAGGGUGCAAGCGUUAAUCGGAAUUACUGGGCGUAAAGCGCACGCAGGCGGUUC